AGCGGCGGACGGGUGAGUAACGCGUGGGUAACCUGCCUCAUACAGGGGGAUAACAGUUGGAAACGGCUGCUAAUACCGCAUAAGCGCACAGUACCGCAUGGUACGGUGUGAAAAACUCCGGUGGUAUGAGAUGGACCCGCGUCUGAUUAGGUAGUUGGUGGGGUAACGGCCUACCAAGCCGACGAUCAGUAGCCGACCUGAGAGGGUGAACGGCCACAUUGGGACUGAGACACGGCCCAG
RNAcentral lists this ribosomal RNA (240 nucleotides) under uncultured bacterium. Its description in RNAcentral is "partial 16S ribosomal RNA". It matches the Rfam family "Bacterial small subunit ribosomal RNA", at positions 94 to 334 of the family's 1533-position model. The record is from RNAcentral.